GCCGGCGACCGGCGCACGGGGUGAGUAACACGUAUGUAACCUGCCCUAUGCAGGGGGGAUAACCCGGAGAAAUCCGGCCUAAUACCGCGUAACACCUUUUGGGAGCAUUCCCGGGAGGUUAAAGGAGAGAUCCGGCAUAGGAUGGACAUGCGUCGCAUUAGGUAGACGGCGGGGUAACGGCCUACCGUGCCGACGAUGCGUAGGGGUUCUGAGAGGAAGGCCCCCCACACUGGUACUGAGACACGGACCAGACUCCUACGGAAGGCAGCAG
RNAcentral lists this ribosomal RNA (271 nucleotides) under uncultured bacterium. Its description in RNAcentral is "partial 16S ribosomal RNA". It matches the Rfam family "Bacterial small subunit ribosomal RNA", at positions 87 to 354 of the family's 1533-position model. The record is from RNAcentral.